RNAcentral lists this long non-coding RNA (18928 nucleotides) under Lathyrus oleraceus (garden pea). RNAcentral's name for it is "Pisum sativum (pea) long non-coding RNA (PSAT_LNC033631)". Lineage: Eukaryota; Viridiplantae; Streptophyta; Magnoliopsida; Fabales; Fabaceae. The record is from RNAcentral.
CCAAAAUAAACCUAUGAAAAGAACCAUGCACAAGUACCUCAAAUAUAGUCCAAAUGAAGUGAUUAUGGACUUUUUAGAAAGGUUACAUAACUUUCAUGUUUAAUACUUUCCCAUUUGAAGCCUGGAUCAUGAUGAAUUGUUUGGUGGAAAUUUUGAGAAAUCAAACAAUUGUAUUUUUUCUAAGUACCAAGUCAAAUGACCACCUCUUCCACCUUGAAUAACUUUUGCUAUGAACUACAAAUGGAAAUGGUUUCUUCAUCAAAGUUUUAUAUCUUUCAUCCCUAUUCAAUUUGGUCACAAAUUUGACUUCAUUUGGAUUUUGACCUCUUAACUAGGGCACAAACAAAAUGACCUAUAAUCUUUCACCAUUAAAAAUGAAUUUCCAAGCAAAACUAGCUCUUGAUGUCAACAGGAAAGUUGUUUGGAAUGUCAUAAGGAGCAACGUUUCUCUUGGAAUCAUUUUCAUAUGACAAAUACUAUAGGAGAUAGGGUCUAGGGAACCCCGGUUUUGACCAAUGGAUUUUCUCUGAUUAACCUCUUUGAACCAAGUUGCAAACUUGAAGUUCUUUUGAUCUUUUGGACUCAUGUAGGAUCAUAUAUGUAUAAUAUGAUGUAUUUUGAAGUAUACCUUGAUAUAUUGGACCAAUUGUUGAAUAAACUUAUUGAGGAAGUCACACAAGAUACCGAGAUGAAUUAGGGCUUCCAAUGUAAACUAGCUUCAAACUCUUGUUUAAUUAUUGAUCAAAAUGAUAAAUGAAGAACAUUGGGAUCCAUAUAUAAUGUCAAGAACCAUUUUGAAAUCUAUCUUGCAUUGAGGGUCUCCACCCCUAGUUAUAAGCUUGAUGAAGCAUUGGUGGAUGCAUAUAAUACCUACAAAAGAAACAAAGUUAUACAUAGACAUACUUUUGGUUUUUUGAUUAGUAAAUAAAUAAAAACAAAGUAUGAUACAAUGAAAUGUUCUUGGUGAUCUCUCCCAAUGCAAACCCAAUCAAUGAGGGGUAACGAGGAUGCCGAGGUGUGAUCCCAAAGCCAAUGCAAAUAUUGAGAUAGCAUGAGGGAUCUUAGGAUCAAAAUUGGGAUCUUACAUUAGGGUAAAUUUAGAGUAUGAUCGGUUCCAAUAAAUGUCUUCCUGUUAGAACUUGCAACAUUAUCGAACCACUAUUGAGAAGAAUCUCUAUGUUAAAGAAGGAGAGGAACACCCAAAUGGUGGGAGAGAGGGGCAUCUAGGUUAAAAAAUAUUAUAUGGAAAACCAUUAAAUUUCUCCAUACGUUAGAGUGAUUUAGGAAGGGGAGAUGUUAGUAAUCCCCAGUACGUCUGUCUCAAAAUAGGUAAAAGGGAACAAACCCCCCAACUCGUGGAUAAUAAGAAGCAGAAGACUCGCUCGCAAUGAGCAUAUUGGCUUUCUCCAUUUUUAAAAAGGGUUCUAGGGUCAUGUCCUUUUUGCGCAAUUUCAUGACUAACAUGAAACCAUCCUCUAUUUAAGACUCAUGUAAAGUUUGGAUAAAAAACAUUAUGACACUAUGAAAGAAAAUCAUUAAUAGAAGAACUAACAAGUCCUGAAUGAAUAAAAUACAAAGAUUAUAAGUGAAACAUAAUCUACUAAAGUACAAAUAUUAUGCUCUUACUAGACACAAGUAAACAUUUAAUUUUAAUCUCCAUAAAUUUUUUCCUAUGGUUAUUAUAAAAAUAAACAAUUAAUUAUAUCUCCUUAGUUUUUUCAAAGGUUAUUAUAUGUGUAUUGAUAUUUUAUUUGUUUGCAUCUUUUAAAUGUGAACAGGGCCAUCGUAACUAUUAAAAAGUAAGAGAAAUAUAAAUUGAAGAAUGAGAAAUAUCAGUAGCUUUACAAUAUUAUUAUAUAAAUAUAGAAGUAUAAAAUUUUAAGAAACUUUAAAUUAUUUUCAAUUUAAUUUUUAAAGAUACUUUGAGAGGUGAUAAGAUGGAUAAACGGUGCCAUGUAACAUUCUUUAUUCUCCUUAACCAACUUGUUUAGUAUGUGGAUAUGGAUAUUGUUUGUUAAAUUACCUUAAAAUUGAAUGUUCAAUGGAUCUAUUAAAUAAUACGCUUUCAAUUUUCUUUCAUCACGUGUCUCAUGCAAGACCCUAAUUAAAAGGUAAUGCAAAUGUCAAAAUUUUAUGUUAAAGUAUCAGAACAAUGAAUUAUGGAAUCUCGUCUAUCAUACUACAUAAUCUUUUUCAUUUCCGUUUAGUUAGAUUUGCAAAUAAGAGUGUUAGAUUACAUUAUUUUAUUUCCUCUAAAUAUUAUGUUGUAUGAUAUAAAAAGAGAAAAUAAGUUUUUUAUUAGGGUGCUUGAGGAGAUGUUGUAUCUCGCUCCAACUGAAUAGAUAAAACAUCAUUUGUUUGUGAAAAGCUUUUUUAUUCGCGUUGAGGAAGAAGUUAGAUUAAUGGGUUGAAAUCAUUUUUAGGUGGAAGAUAAUUAUUCGAAAGGAAGGAUAUACUCCUUUUAUAGAUAAAAGUAAAAAUAAAAAUAGAGAGGAAAUGGCUCGCUCGUAAUGAGCGUAUUGGCUCUCUGCAUUUAAAAACACGGUUCUAGGGUCACAUCCUCUUCGUGUAAUUUCUUGACUAACAUGUAUCCUCUAUUUAAGACUCCUAUAAAGUUUGAAUAAAAAACUUUAUGACACAGAGAAAGAAAAUUAUUAAUAUAAGAGGUAACAAGUCUUGAAUGGAUAAAAUACAAAGAUUAUAAGUGAAAUAAAAUCUACUAAAGUACGAAUAUUAUGCUCUUACUACACACAAGCAAACAUUUAAUAUUAAUCUCCAUAAAUUUUUCUUAUGGUUAUUAUAAAAAUUAACAAUUAAUUAUAUCUCCUUAGUUUUUUCAAAGGUUAUUAUAUGUGUAUUGAUAUUUUAUUUGUUUGCAUCUUUUAAAAGUGAACAAGGCCGCCGUAACUAUUAAAAAGUAAGAGAAAUAUAAAUUGAAGAAUGAGAAAGAUCAGUGGCUUUACAAUAUUAUUAUAUAAAUAUAGAAGUAUAAAAUAGUAAGAAACUUUAAAUUAUUUUCAAUUUAAUUUUUAAAGAUACUUUGAGAGGUGAUAGGAUGGAAAAGAAAAUAUGAUAUGCAUAAAUUGAAGGUCAUGAAUAUUUCUCUAAAAUUUAAAGGGAAGAAGAUACUAAAAAUAUUAUUAUUUGUUGUCCUAUUUCAUUUCAUUACAAUAAUACUAGUGUAUAAAUCCAGAACUAUUAGGUUGUUGUAAUAAAAUUUAAACAAAAACUCAAAUUAUUGAGGGUAAAAAUACAAUAUCCAAAUGACAUACGAUAACACAUAAAAUAUAUUAGGUGUUUGUGUCUUAUCUGGGGACUUUCAAUUAAAAACUAAAUUUGUAAACUCUUAAAGGAAUUUAUUUAUCUUCUCGGAUUAAGCAAUUCACGCACUAUUAUACAUUUACAAUUAGUGCGGUUCAUGCAUUUUCCUCUAUAAGGAGGUCGGCAAUAAAUUUUGUUUUCACAAUCUGAAUCAUCAAAACAUUUGAUUUUCUCUGCUGCAAUUAAAAAAACACUAUAAGGUUAUUAAAAUGAAAAAAAAAUACAAUGUAUGAAAUAAAAGAGAACAUUUAAAAUGAAUGAACAAAAGUUACCUUUAAUUUUCGUUCCAAUCAAAAACAGAGAGACUAACAUAAUCAUAACAUAAGCAAAUUUUACUAUUUGUACCAUAUUUCUCCUCGUUAUUUUUAUAAAUUAUUUUGUAACUUUGUAGUUUAUGAAUAAGAGUGGAUCCUCGCCUUUUAUAAUUUUUACUUGUGGACACUUAGUUGUAAAAUAAAUCUUAAAAUUAAAUUAAUUAGUAUAUAACUUUUCGAUACAUCAUUUUUUUGUCUUUGUCUCUUCAGCACAUCCAAAAAAGAUGUAAAAUAAAACAUGUCUAUCAUAAAAAUUUAUUCUUCUUAUAAUAAAAUUUUAAUCAUUUUAUAUUAUUUUACCUCGGAUGUGAAUGGGAGAUUACCUUAGUUAUAGAGAUGGGAUACCAAAGAGCGUCAUAAAAAACUAACAUCUUAUCGAUCGGUUUUGAAUAACCGAGGGGAAAGGUGAAAAAGUCAUUCAUUUGAUCCCCAGUGUAGGUCGGAUUUUUUUAAAAGUUAUAGAGAUGGGAUACCAAAGAGCGUCAUAAAAAACUAACAUCUUAUCGAUCGGUUUUGAAUAACCGAGGGGAAAGGUGAAAAAGUCAUUCAUUUGAUCCCCAGUGUAGGUCGGAUUUUUUUAAUAACUGAGGGGUAUAACCAAUGUUUUUUAAAAUUCCAUUUUAACUGACCUUGAUCAUUUUUUAUAUAGAUCCUACAAAUUAGGUGAGAGAAUCAUAUCAAUUGUAUUUUAUUUAGAAUAUAAAACAAAAUACCAAUUUUACAUUGUUUAUAAAAGCAAAUGUACAAUCCUUGCAAUACUUAUCGUGAUAUUUGGUAUACACAAAACCUAUGCCAAGAGAACCUAUACAUAUUUUCACCUAAAUUGACAAAACAUUUACACAAUGCUAGUGUAUAGAUAAAAAUCAAGAAAAACUAGUGUUUACUAGAUUCAUAAUGACAUAAGAAGACACUUGCACAACGUGAUCGGAUGUCAUCUAUAUCCUCUUGUGGAAAUGGUGUUUUAUUGCUAGACGCUUAUAAUUUGAACAAAAUUUAAAUUAUGAUAAGAUAACUACAACAAUAAUAAAUAACAAUUAUACAUAAAUUACAUGUAUAUGGAUAAAGUUAAUACCUUAUUCAAUGAAUUAAUAAUGCCAUUAGAGAAAAUAUUAGACAUAUGUAUCAUAGUAUUAUAUCGACAUAUAAAGUUCUGUGAAUACAUAAAUUACAUGUAUAUGGAUAAAGUUAAUACCUUAUUCAAUGAAUUAAUAAUGCCAUUAGAGAAAAUAUUAGACAUAUGUAUCAUAGUAUUAUAUCGACAUAUAAAGUUCUGUGAUUAUCUUCGCUGCUACAAAUAAUUUUCAUAUUGUUACUAAUUAAUACACACAAGACACAAGUAAUACAUUAGAGAAACUAAAAUAAUAUCAAAAAGCAUAAGUAAUACUUACACGUGGUUCUAUGAACUUUAGCUUUUUACCCUGUAUAUUACGUUUCACAAAAUUGUAUCCCUCCAAAUCAUUACAUGAUGGUAAAAAUCAAACAUGAAUAAAACUUUUCAAGACUAAAGGUAAAAUUUGAGUAUUCCAAAUAAUACCACUUACGCACUUAAAAUCUUUUGUAUAUCUUCAUCAAGAUGACAAUGUAACCAGCAUAACAUAACUAUAAUAUUUUUCUUCUGACAUAAAAUAAUUAAUUGCAAAUGUUUGCUACAUAAAAACAUAGAAUAAUUACCAAUGUGUGUAUAAAAUUGAUUUAUAAAUGAAAACACAAAUUAAAUCAUAUACUUAAUUAUGGAUAAAUUAUGACAUGUAAUAUUCUUUAUUCUCUUUAACCAACUUGUUUGUAUGCGUAUAUGGAUAUUGUUGGUUAAAUUACCUUAAAAUUGAAUGUUCAAUGAAUCUAUGAAAUAAUAUGCUUUCAAUUUUCUUUCGACACUUGUCUCAUGCAUGACCCUAAUUAAAAGGUAAUGCAAAUGUCAAAAUUUUAUGUUAAAGUAUGAGAACAAUGAAUUAUGGAAUCUCGUCUAUCAUACUAAAUAAUCUUUUUCAUUUCCAUUUAGUUAGAUUUGCAAAUAAGAGUGUUAGAUUACAUUAUUUUAUUUCCUCUGAAUACUAUGUUGUAUGAUAUAAACAGAGAAAAUUAUUGUUUUAUUAGGGUGCUUGAGUAGAGGUUGUAUCUCGCUCCAACUGAAUUGAUAAAACAUCAUUCGUUUGUGAAACGUUUUUUAGUCGCGCUGAGGAAGAAGUAAGAUUCAUGGGUUGAAAUUAUUUUUAGGUUGAAGAUGAUUAUUCGAAAGGAAAGAUAUACUCCUUUUAUAGAUAAAAGUAAAAAUAAAAUUAGAGAGGAAAUGACUCGCUCGUAAUGAGCGUAUUGGCUCUCUGCAUUUUAAAACAGGGUUCUAGGGUCACAUCCUCUUCAAGUAAUUUCUUGACUAACAUGUAUCCUCUAUUUAAGACUCAUAUAAAGUUUGAAUAAAAAACUUUAUGACACAGAGAAAGAAAAUUAUUAAUAGAAGAGGUAACAAGUCUUGAAUGGAUAAAAUACAAAGAUUAUUAGUGAAAUAAAAUCUACUAAAGUACGAAUAUUCUGCUCUUACUACACACAAGUAAACAUUUAAUAUUAAUCUCCAUAAAAAAUUUCUUAUGGUUAUUAUAAAAAUAAACAAUUAAUUAUAUCUCCAUAGUUUUUUCAAAGGUUAUUAUAUGUGUAUUGAUAUUUUAUUUGUUUGCAUCUUUUAAAGGUGAACAAGGCCACCGUAACUAUUAAAAAGUAAGAGAAAUAUAAAUUGAAGAAUGAGAAAGAUCAAUAGCUUUAUAAUAUUAUUAUAUAAAUAUAGAAGUAUAAAAUUGUAAGAAACUUUAAAUUAUUUUCAAUUUAAUUUUUAAAGAUACUUUGAGAGGUGAUAGGAUGGAAAAGAAAAUGUGAUAUGCAUAAAUUGAAGGUCAUGAAUAUUUCUCUAAAAUUUAAAGUGAAGAAGAUACUAAAAAUAUUAUUACUAUGUUGUCCUAUUUCAUUUCAUUACAAUAAUACUAGUGUGUAAAUCCACAACUAUAGGUUGUGAAAAUAAAAUUUAAACAAAAAAAAUUAUUGGGGUAAAAAUACAAUAUCCAAAUGACAUACGACAACACAUAAAAUAUAUUAGGUGUUUGCGUCUUCUCUAGGGACUUUCAAUUAAAAACUAAAUUUGUAAACUCUUAAAGUAUUAUUAUCUCCUGGGAUUAAGCAAUCACGCACUAUUUUACAUUUACAAAUAAGUUUGCUUAUGCAUUUUCCUCUAUAAGGAGGCCGGCAAUAAUUUUUUUGAUAAUCUGAAUCAUCAAAACAUUCGAUUCUCUCUGCUGCAAUAAAAAACACUAUAUGGUUAUUAAAAUGAAAAAUAUAACGUAUGAAAUAAAACAGAACUUUAAAAUGAAUGAACAAAAGUUACCUUUAAUUUUCGUUCCAAUAAAAAUAGAAAGAAUAAUAUAAUCAUAACAUAAGAAAAUUAUUACUUCUACCAUAUUCUCCUCGUUAUUUUUAAUAAAUUAUUUUGUAACUUUAUAGUUAUGAAUAAGAGUGGAUCCUGCCUUUAAUAAUUUUUACUUGUGGACACUUAGUUGUAAAAUAAAUCUUAAAAUUAAAUUAAUUAGUAUAUAACUUUUCGAUACAUCAUUUUGUUGUCUUUGUCUCUUCAGCAUAUCCAAAAAAGAUGUAAAAUAAAACUUGUCUAUCAUAAAAAAUAUUCUUCUUAUAAAAAUUUUUAAUCAUUUUAUAUAUUUUACCUCGGAUGUGAAUGGGAGAUUACCUCAGUUAUAGAGAUGGAUACAAAGAGCGUCAUAAAAAACUAACAUCUUAUACGAUCGUUUUGAAUAACCGAGGGAAAGGUGAAAAAGUCAUUCAUUUGAUCCCCAGUGUAGGUCGGAUUUUUUAAUAAUUGAGGGGUAUAACCAAUGUUUUUAAAAUUCCAUUUUAACUGACCUUGAUCAUUUCUAUAUAGAUCCUACAAAUUAGGUGACAGAAUCAUAUCAAUUUGUAUUUUAUUUAGAAUAAAACAAAAUACCAAUUUUACAUUGUUAUAAAAGCAAAUGUACAAUCCUUGCAAUACUUAUCGUGAUAUUUGUAUACACAAAACCUAUCGCAAGAGAACCUAUACAUAUUUCACCUAAAUUGACAAAACAUUUACACAAUGCUAGUGAUAGUUAAAAAUCAAAGAAAAACUAGUGUUGACUAGAUUCAUAAUGACAUAAGAAGACACUUGCACAACGUGAUCGGAUGUCAUCUAUCUCCUCUGUGGAAAUGGUGUUUUAUUGCUAGACGCUUAUAAUUUGAACAAAAUUUAAAUUAUGAUAAGUUAACUACAACAAUAAUAAUUAACAAUUAACAAUAAUUACAUGUAUAUGGAUAAAGUUAAUACCUUAUUCAAUGAAUAAUAAUGCCAUUAGAGAAAAUAUUAGACAUAUGUAUCAUAGUAUUAUAUCGACAUAUAAAGUUCUGUGAUUAUCUUUGCUGCUACAAAUAAUUUUCAUAUUGUUACUAAUUAAUACACAAAAGACAAAGUAAUACAUUAGAGAAACUAAAAUAUCAAAAAGCAUAAGUAAUACUUACACGUGUUCUAUGAACUUUAGCUUUUACCCUGUAUAUUACGUUUCACAAAAUUGUAUCCCUCCAAAUCAUUACAUGAUGGUAAAAAUCAAACAUGAAUAAAACUUUCAACAGACUAAAGGUAAAAUUUGAGUAUUCCAAAUAAUACCACUUACGCACUUAAAAUCUUUUGUAUAUCUUCAUCAAGAUGACAAUGUAACCAGCAUAACAUAACUAUAUAUUUUUCUUCUGACAUAAUAAUUAAUUGCAAAUGUUUGCUACAUAAAAACUUAGAAUAAUUAAAAUGUGUGUAUAAAAUGAUUUAUAAUGAAAACACAAAUUAAAUCAUAUACUUAAUUUUGAUAAAUUAUGACAUGUAAUAUUCUUUAUUCUCUUUAACCAACUUGUUGUAUGCGUAUAUGGAUAUUGUUUGUUAAAUUACUAAAAUUGAAUGUUCAAUGGAUCAUAUGAAAUAAUAUGCUUUCAAUUUCUUUCGACACUUGUCUCAUGCAUGACCCUAUUAAAAAAGUAAUGCAAAUGUCAAAAUUUUAUGUUAAAGUAUGAGAACGAUGAAUUAUGGAAUCUCGUCUAUCAUACUAAAUAAUCUUUUUCAUUUCCAUUUAGUUAGAUUUGCAAAUAGAGUGUUAGAUUACAUUAUUUUAUUUCCUCUGAAUACUAUGUUGUAUGAUAUAAAGAAAGAAAUAAUUUUAAAUUGAUAUUUUCAUUAUUAUAUUUUUCAUGAUUUAAUUGAUAUGUGAAUAUUUUUAAUGUUUAAAAAUACUUUGAAGUUUUCAAAAUUAUGAUUUUUUUCUCCAAGGUACUUUGACCUUGUUUGACAUAUGAUAAUCUCAUGGCAAUUUUUUUGUGUUUUGAUGAGGUUUUUAGGAAAUUGACCACAUAUUUAAUUUAACGCAUAUUUUGUUAUUUUUAAUUGUUUAAAUGCCAAAUAAAUUGUGUAGAGCCAUUUAAUUGACUUUGUGAGUUUGACUUGUGUUGUUGGACCUUGGUCAAGGGGAUUUGACUUGUUAGGUUAAGAUUAUUGGAUUAGGGGAUUGAUGGAAUGUAAAUUCCAUCUCCCAAAAUGAACGAAUGAUCUUAAUUUUGGUAAAGUCCUCUUGACCAAUUUGUGAUUGAUCCAUUCCCCCUCCCUCUUUAUCUCAUUCCCCUUCUUUAUUCAUUCAUAUCAUGGACCUAUGUAUAUCUACAUCCAAAGGCUAGUUGAUUGCAAAAUCAACAUGAGUAUGGAUGAGAUUAGGUCACCACUUUGCAUAUUCUUUUUGUGUGUGGUAUGUUUCAUGAGUAUAAUCCAUUAUACUAUAUCUCUAACAUGAAUUAACACCAAAUUCUAUUGCCCGACCUCAAAUAGUUGUGACUUCUACAUAAGUCCAAUUAUGAUUGCUUAAUAUAGCGCUAAAUUUGUGACACAAAAAGGCAUAGCCAUUAUAGUAGAAGUGAGAUGUAAGUUCCACUCUUUCAUGGUGUGAGAAACUUGCCAUUUUUUCCUCCCGUGGAAAUGUCUUGGUUACAGAGACCUGCUAGUGAUAAGUGCGUUGAGUGUUCUCCAAAGAAUGACUUAAACAAAAACAAAACAAAACAAUACUAACUCUAACCGACUAACACUAACAUAUUAUACAAGCCAUUUACUUUUAUGCACUUUAAUUGAGCUUUAAUUCAUUUGCCAUUAUUCAUACCAUUCAAUUUGUUACUUAAUGUCAUUUUCACUUGCGCACACUGGUGCAUAAUUUGUGAUAUAUUGUAUUUGUAUAUACUUGUUGUUUUGUGUGUCCUUUUCCUUAAUGUACAUCAUAAGAACAAAAACCCUAAUAAAUAUUUUCGUGGACUGUUGAUUUGAUCUGAGACUAUUGGACUUAGAAUUUAGGCAACACUCCCUAUGCAAAUGACUUGGCCAAUGCCAAAUUUCAUGAAACCAAUUGCUUGUGAAGUUAACAUCCAUAUGAUACAAUAUUGAAGAUCCAUUUGAGUUCAUCUGCAACAUGAUCAUAUUGAAACUGUUAUUUUGAACCUGUGUCUAAUGCUCCUCUUUUAAGUCAUCUGAUACAUGGGGAAUCAUAAAGAAAGAUCAUGGAGUUGCUAAUCUUAGAUGUGGCUAUCUUUAUUUGAUGUCUUGGUCUUCCACCUUGCUAUUUGUGUAAUUGAUAUUCCUUGAUUCUAAACUCCAUAGGAAAUUUGGUUUCUAUAUGACAUUUUUGUUUAUUGGAUUACAGCCGUGGUCAGAUCUUUUCAACUCUUAACUUUUAAAUUCGUGCUUAGGAUUAGUCUCUUCAUCUCCUUCCAUUCUUUUAAUUUCAAAAUCUCUCCCUCCUUUUAAAACCUUUUUCAUUGUGUUUGUUUUCUAAACUUAGACCAUUUUUUUGCAAAUUAGAAACUUUGGCCUUAUGCCAUUGCAUUUUUAAACUCUUUUCUCAAUCAAACCUGUAAAUAAACUUAAUUAUACUUGACUUAAAAUUUUAGAAAGAAAAAAGAACUAACACUCAUUCAAAUAAUUUUGGCCUUUUUGUGCCUUGUUAAACUUAAAUUUUGUUAAAAGCAAUGCACUCAUUUUGAAUUAAUACCACGAACUACGAGUUUUGAUCCCUCAUUUUGUGUUGGUACCUAGCACAAGUCUGAAGGUCUUGUCAAACACAAAAAUAUAUUUAAUGAAUCUUUUUCUCAUCCCUCCACUCUAUUUUUUUUGCAAACAUCAGUUGUACAAAAACACAUAUCCAAAAAAAAGGGCUCCCUAGGAUAACCUAUGACAAUUUGGGUGCUAACAUCUUCCCUCUGUGUAAUCCACCCCCUUAUCCGUAAUCUCUGACAUUUUAUUAGUUUUGAUUUAAAAACUUCUUAUCUUUUGAGUUUUGUUCGUCCUUUUCCCUCUUCCUUGAAAAACCCAAAAGCGCGGUGGCGACUCUGGUUUUAUUGAAUUUAGCAUAUCCAUAGCUUAAUGGUCAUGGCAACCAAAUCAAAUCAGGAGUAUAUUAUUUGAUGAGAAUGUAUUAGCACCCCCGCAUAUUGUUGUACUCAACGAGAACCAUUUAGUUAAAUUUACGUGUAAAAGUGUUAGAUUAUGAUUUUAUUUCAUUUGAUUAUUAUGUUGUAUGAAAUAACCAAUAAAAUAAGUUUUUUAAUUAGGGUGCCUGACAGAAUUUUAAAUCUCGCUCCAACUGAAUAGAUAAAACAUCAUUCGUUUGUGAAAAGUUUUUUAGUCGUGCUGAGGAAGAAGUAGGAUUGAUGGGUUGAAAUAUUUUUUAGGUGGAAGAUGAUUAUUCUAAAGGAAAGAUAUACUCCUUUAUGGAUACAAGUAAAUAAAAAUAGAGAGUACAUGACUCGCUCGCAAUGAGAAAAUUGUCUCUCUCCUUUUUUAAACAUGGUUCUAGGGCCACAUCCUCUUCGUGUAAUUAAUUGACUAACAUAUAUCCUCUAUUUAAGACUUAUGUAAAGUUUGGAUAAAAAACUUUAUGACACAAAGAGGGAAAUAAUUAAUAGAAGAGUAACAAGUCUUGAAAUGGAUAAAAUACAAAGAUUAUAAGUGAAACAAAAAUCUACUAAACUACACAUAUUAUGCUCUUACUAGACACAAGUAAACAAUUAUUUUAAUCGCAUAAUAUUCUCCAAUGGUAAUAUAAUAAACAAUUAAUUAGAUCUCCUGAGUUUUUUCAAAGGUUGUUAUAUGUGUAUUGAUGUUUUAUUUGUUCACAAUUUUAAAAAGUCAACAAGGUCACUGUAAUUAUUAAAAAGAAAAGAGAAUAUAAAUGAAGUAUGAGGAAGAUCACUAGUUUUACAAUAUUAUUAUAUAAUAUAGAAGUACAAAGUAUAAGAAACUUUAACUUAUUUUCCAAUAAAUCUCUAGAGUUACUUUGAGAGGUGAUAUGAUUGAAAAGAAAAUGUAAUAUGGAUAAAUUGAAGGUCAUGAAUAUUUCUCUAAAAUUAAAAGGGAAGAAGGCAUCAAAAUAUUAUUAGUUUUUUCUAAAAUUAAAAAAGAGAAGAAGACAAUAAAAAAUGAAAAUAUAUUAUUUGUUAUUUUAUUUCAUUUCAUUACAAUCAUGUUACUAUAUAACCAACAACUACCAGGUUCUUGAAAUAGAACAAAAACAAAUAAGAUUGUUGGGGUAACCAUACAAUAUCCAAAUGAUAUGCGACAACACAAUAUAUAGGUGUUUGUGUGUUCUCUCGGGUCUCUCUUUUUAUGAGAUGUUUGUAAACUACUAAAGAUAUUUCUUUAUCUUCUCGAUUAAGCAAUUCAAGUCCUAGUACUCAUUAAACAAUGACUCUUGUUAUGCAUGUUCUUUAAAAGGAAACCGAAAAAAAAAUAUUUCUACAAUCUGAAUCAUCAAAACAUUUAAUUCUUUCUCCUACAAUAAAAACACACAAUAAGGUUAUUAAAAUAAUAAAAAAUACAAGGUAUGAAAUAAAAAAUAAAGUGUUAAAUGAAUGAAUUGAAGUUUCCUUCAAUUUUCGAUCCAAUAAAAAUAUAAAAGAUUAAUAUAAUCAUAACUUAAUAGAACUUUAUUAUUUCUAUCCUAUUUCUCCUCGUUAUAUUUAAUAAAUUAUUUUAUAACUUUAUAGUUUAAAUAACAGUGCAUCCUCACCCUCUUUAUAUCUCUUAAUUAUGGAUACAUAGUUGCAAAAUAAAUCUUAAAAAGAUGUCACAUCAUUUUGUUGUGUUAGUCUCUUCAGCACAUCUAAAAAAGAUGUCGGAUAAAACUUGUCUAUCAAAAAAUAUUUUCUUCUUAUAAUAAAAUUCUAAUUAUUUUAAAUUAUAUUACCUCGGAUGUGAAAUGGAGAUUACCUCAGUUAUAGAGAUUGGAUAACAAAGGGCAUCAUAAAAAACUAAUAUUUUAUCCAUCGGUUUUGAAUAACCGAGGGGAAAGGUGAAAAAGUCAUUGACUUGAUCCCAAUUUACGUAGGAUUUUUUAAAAUAACCGAGGGGUAAUAACCAAUGUUUUUUAAAAUUCCAUUUUGACUUACCUAAAUCAAUUUUUACAUAGAGCCUACAAUUAAGUGACAGAAUCAUAACGUUUGUAUUUUAUAUAGAAUACAAUACAGAAUAUCAUUUUAGCAUUGUUUAGCAAAACGUAAAUGUACAACCUUACACAAUACUUUAUAAUGCUAAUUUGGUAUACACAAAACCUCUACCUAAGAGAAACCUAUACAUAUUUGCACCUAAAUGAAAAGAACCUGCUACACAAUGCAAGUGUAUAGAUUAAAUAAAGAAAAAUCUCUCUCGGCGCGGAUUGCGCUGCACGAUUGCGCGAGAAGAUGUUGACCGAGUAAAACGUGAGAGAGUCAGGCUACGAGAGAUGUAANUAUAAUUAUUGGGGGUAAAAAUACAAUAUCCAAAUGACAUACGACAACACAUAAAAUAUAUUAGGUGUUUGCGUCUUCUCUAGGGACUUUCAAUUAAAAACUAAAUUUGUAAACUCUUAAAGGUAUUUAUUUAUCUCCUGGGAUUAAGCAAUUCACGCACUAUUUUACAUUUACAAUAAGUGUUGCUUAUGCAUUUUCCUCUAUAAGGAGGCCGGCAAUACAUUUUGUUUUGAUAAUCUGAAUCAUCAAAACAUUUGAUUCUCUCUGCUGCAAUAAAAAAACACUAUAUGGUUAUUAAAAUGAAAAAAAAUAUAACGUAUGAAAUAAAACAGAACAUUUAAAAUGAAUGAACAAAAGUUACCUUUAAUUUUCGUUCCAAUAAAAAAUAGAAAGAAUAAUAUAAUCAUAACCUAAGGAAAAUUUAUUACUUCUACCAUAUUUCUCCUCGUUAUUUUUAAUAAAUUAUUUUGUAACUUCAUAGUUUAUGAAUAAGAGUGGAUCCUCGCCUUUAAUAAUUUUUACUUGUGGACACUUAGUUGUAAAAUAAAUCUUAAAAUUAAAUUAAUUAGUAUAUAACUUUUCGAUACAUCAUUUUGUUGUCUUUGUUCCUCUUCAAGCAUAUCCAAAAAAGGAUGUAAAUAAAACUUGUCUAUCAUAAAAAUAUAUUCUUCUUAAUAAAAAUUUUAAUCAUUUUAUAUUAUUUUACCUCGGAUGUGAAUGGGAGAUUACCUCAGUUAUAGAGAUGGGAUACCAAAGAGCGUCAAAAAAAACUAACAUCUAUCGAUCGGUUUUGAAUAACCGAGGGGAAAGGUGAAAAGUCAUUCAUUUGAUCCCCAGUGUAGGUCGGAUUUUUUAAUACUGAGGGGUAUAACCAAUGUUUUUUAAAAUUCCAUUUUAACUGACCUUGAUCAUUUUAUAUAGAUCCUACAAAUUAGGUAGAGAAUCAUAUCAUUGUAUUUUAUUUAGAAUAUAAAACAAAAUACAAUUUUACAUGUUUAUAAAGCAAAUGUACAAUCCUUGCAAUACUUAUCGUGAUAUUGGUAUACACAAAACCUAUGCCAAGAGAACCUAUACAUAUUUCACCUAAAUUGACAAAACAUUUACACAAUGCUAGUGUAUAGAUAAAAAUCAAGAAAAACUAGUGUUUACUAGAUUCAUAAUGACAUAAGAAACACUUGCACAACGUGAUCGGAUGUCAUCUAUAUCCUCUUGUGGAAAUGGUGUUUUAUUGCUAGACGCUUAUAAUUUGAACAAAAUUUAAAUUAUGAUAAGAUAACUACAACAAUAAUAAAAUAACAAUUAUACAUAAAUUACAUGUAUAUGGAUAAAGUUAAUACCUUAUUCAAUGAAUUAAUAAUGCCAUUAGAGAAAAUAUUAGACAUAUGUAUCAUAGUAUUAUAUCGACAUAUAAAGUUCUGUGAUUAUCUUCGCUGCUACAAAUAAUUUCAUAUUGUUACUAAUUAAUACACACAAGACACAAGUAAUACAUUAGAGAAACUAAAAUAAUAUCAAAAAGCAUAAGUAAUACUUACACGUGGUUCUAUGAACUUUAGCUUUUUACCCUGUAUAUUACGUUUCACAAAUUGUAUCCCUCCAAAUCAUUACAUGAUGGUAAAAAUCAAACAUGAAUAAAACUUUUCAAGACUAAAGGUAAAAUUUGAGUAUUCCAAAUAAUACCACUUACGCACUUAAAAUCUUUUGUAUAUCUUCAUCAAGAUGACAAUGUAACCAGCAUAACAUAACUAUAAUAUUUUUCUUCUGACAUAAAAUAAUUAAUUGCAAAUGUUUGCUACAUAAAAACAUAGAAUAAUUACCAAUGUGUGUAUAAAUUGAUUUAUAAAUGAAAACACAAAUUAAAUCAUAUACUUAAUUAUGGAUAAAUUAUGACAUGUAAUAUCUUUUAUUCUCUUUAACCAACUUGUUUGUAUGCGUAUAUGGAUAUUGUUUGGUUAAAUUACCUUAAAAUUGAAUGUUCAAUGAAUCUAUGAAAUAAUAUGCUUUCAAUUUUCUUUCGACACUUGUCUCAUGCAUGACCCUAAUUAAAGGUAAUGCAAAUGUCAAAAUUUUAUGUUAAAGUAUGAGAACAAUGAAUUAGGGAAUCUCGUCUAUCAUACUAAAUAAUCUUUUUCAUUUCCAUUUAGUUAGAUUUGCAAAUAAGAGUGUUAGAUUACAUUAUUUUAUUUCCUCUGAAUACUAUGUUGUAUGAUAUAACAGAAGAAAUUAUUGUUUUAUUAGGGUGCUUGAGUAGAGGUUGUAUCUCGCUCCAACUGAAUUGAUAAAACAUCAUUCGUUUGUGAAACGUUUUUAGUCGCGCUGAGGAAGAAGUAAGAUUCAUGGGUUGAAAUUAUUUUAGGUUGAAGAUGAUAUUCGAAAGGAAAGAUAUACUCCUUUAUAGAUAAAAGUAAAAAUAAAAUUAGAGAGGAAAUGACUCGCUCGUAAUGAGCGUAUUGGCUCUCUGCAUUUUAAAACAGGGUUCUAGGGUCACAUCCUCUUCAAGUAAUUUCUUGACUAACAUGUAUCUCUAUUUAAGACUCAUAUAAAGUUUGAAUAAAAACUUUAUGACACAGGAAAGAAAAUUAUUAAUAGAAGAGGUAACAAGUCUGAAUGGAUAAAAUACAAAGAUUAUUAGUGAAAUAAAAUCUACUAAAGUACGAAUAUUCUGCUCUUACUACACACAAGUAACAUUUAAUAUUAAUCUCCAUAAAAAUUUCUUAUGGUUAUUAUAAAAAUAACAAUUAAUUAUAUCUCCAUAGUUUUUCAAAGGUUAUUAUAUGUGUAUUGAUAUUUUAUUUGUUUGCAUCUUUUAAAAGGUGAACAAGCGCCACCGUAACUAUUAAAAAGUAGAGAAAUAUAAAUUGAAGAAUGAGAAAGAUCAAUAGCUUAUAAUAUUAUAUAUAAAUAUAGAAGUAUAAAAUUGUAAGAAACUUUAAAUUAUUUUCAAUUUAUUUUUAAGAUACUUUGAGAGGUGAUAGGAUGGAAAAGAAAAUGUGAUAUGCAUAAAUUGAAGGUCAUGAAUAUUUCUCUAAAAUUUAAAGUGAAGAAGAUACUAAAAAUAUUAUUACUUGUUGUCCUAUUUCAUUUCAUUACAAUAAUACUAGUGUGAAAUCCACAACUAUAGGUUGUGAAAUAAAAUUUAAACAAAAAUAUAAUUAUUGGGGUAAAAUAAAUAUCCAAAUGACAUACGACAACACAUAAAAUAUAUUAGGUGUUUGCGUCUUCUCUAGGGACUUUCAAUUAAAAACUAAAUUUGUAAACUCUUAAAGGUAUUUAUUUAUCUCCUGGGAUUAAGCAAUCCACGCACUAUUUUACAUUUACAAUAAGUGUUGCUUAUGCAUUUUCCUCUAUAAGGAGGCCGGCAAUAUAUUUUAUUUUGAUAAUCUGAAUCAUCAAAACAUUCGAUUCUCUCUGCUGCAAUAAAAAAACACUAUAUGGUUAUUAAAAUGAAAAGAAAUAUAACGUAUGAAAUAAAACAGAACAUUUAAAAUGAAUGAACAAAAGUUACCUUUAAUUUUCGUUCCAAUAAAAAAUAGAAAGAAUAAUAUAAUCAUAACAUAAGGAAAAUUUAUUACUUCUACCAUAUUUCUCCUCGUUAUUUUUAAUAAAUUAUUUUGUAACUUUAUAGUUUAUGAAUAAGAGUGGAUCCUCGCCUUUAAUAAUUUUUACUUGUGGACACUUAGUUGUAAAAUAAAUCUUAAAAUUAAAUUAAUUAGUAUAUAACUUUUCGAUACAUCAUUUUGUUGUCUUUGUCUCUUCAGCAUAUCCAAAAAAGAUGUAAAAUAAAACUUGUCUAUCAUAAAAAUAUAUUCUUCUUAUAAAAAAUUUUUAAUCAUUUUAUAUUAUUUUACCUCGGAUGUGAAUGGGAGAUUACCUCAGUUAUAGAGAUGGGAUACCAAAGAGCGUCAUAAAAAACUAACAUCUUAUAGAUCGGUUUUGAAUAACCGAGGGGAAAGGUGAAAAAGUCAUUCAUUUGAUCCCCAGUGUAGGUCGGAUUUUUUUAAUAAUUGAGGGGUAUAACCAAUGUUUUUUAAAAUUCCAUUUUGACUGACCUUGAUCAUUUUCUAUAUAGAUCCUACAAAUUAGGUGACAGAAUCAUAUCAUUUGUAUUUUAUUUAGAAUAUAAAACAAAAUACCAAUUUUACAUUGUUUAUAAAAGCAAAUGUACAAUCCUUGCAAUACUUAUCGUGAUAUUUGAUAUACACAAAACCUAUUCCAAGAGAACCUAUACAUAUUUGCACCUAAAUUGACAAAACAUUUACACAAUGCUAGUGUAUAGUUAAAAAUCAAGAAAAACUAGUGUUGACUAGAUUCAUAAUGACAUAAGAAGACACUUGCACAACGUGAUCGGAUGUCAUCUAUAUCCUCUUGUGGAAAUGGUGUUUUAUUGCUAGACGCUUAUAAUUUGAACAAAAUUUAAAUUAUGAUAAGUUAACUACAACAAUAAUAAAUUAACAAUUAUACAUAAAUUACAUGUAUAUGGAUAAAGUUAAUACCUUAUUCAAUGAAUUAAUAAUGCCAUUAGAGAAAAUAUUAGACAUAUGUAUCAUAGUAUUAUAUCGACAUAUAAAGUUCUGUGAAUACAUAAAUUACAUGUAUAUGGAUAAAGUUAAUACCUUAUUCAAUGAAUUAAUAAUGCCAUUAGAGAAAAUAUUAGACAUAUGUAUCAUAGUAUUAUAUCGACAUAUAAAGUUCUGUGAUUAUCUUUGCUGCUACAAAUAAUUUUCAUAUUGUUACUAAUUAAUACACAAAAGACAUAAGUAAUACAUUAGAGAAACUAAAAUAAUAUCAAAAAGCAUAAGUAAUACUUACACGUGGUUCUAUGAACUUUAGCUUUUUACCCUGUAUAUUACGUUUCACAAAAUUGUAUCCCUCCAAAUCAUUACAUGAUGGUAAAAAUCAAACAUGAAUAAAACUUUUCAAAACUAAAGGUAAAAUUUGAGUAUUCCAAAUAAUACCACUUACGCACUUAAAAUCUUUUGUAUAUCUUCAUCAAGAUGACAAUGUAACCAGCAUAACAUAACUAUGAUAUUUUUCUUCUGACAUAAAAUAAUUAAUUGCAAAUGUUUGCUACAUAAAAACUUAGAAUAAUUAAUAAUGUGUGUAUAAAAUGAUUUAUAAAUGAAAACACAAAUUAAAUCAUAUACUUAAUUAUUGAUAAAUUAUGACAUGUAAUAUUCUUUAUUCUCUUUAACCAACUUGUUUGUAUGCGUAUAUGGAUAUUGUUUGUUAAAUUACCUUAAAAUUGAAUGUUCAAUGGAUCUAUGAAAUAAUAUGCUUUCAAUUUUCUUUCGACACUUGUCUCAUGCAUGACCCUAUUUAAAAAGUAAUGCAAAUGUCAAAAUUUUAUGUUAAAGUAUGAGAACGAUGAAUUAUGGAAUCUCGUCUAUCAUACUAAAUAAUCUUUUUCAUUUCCAUUUAGUUAGAUUUGCAAAUAAGAGUGUUAGAUUACAUUAUUUUAUUUCCUCUGAAUACUAUGUUGUAUGAUAUAA